RNAcentral lists this long non-coding RNA (2964 nucleotides) under Dasypus novemcinctus (nine-banded armadillo). RNAcentral's name for it is "lncRNA (ENSDNOG00000051160.1)". Lineage: Eukaryota; Metazoa; Chordata; Mammalia; Cingulata; Dasypodidae. The record is from RNAcentral.
AUGUUCCCAGUCUCCAGGGCAGACAAAACCACCAGGGACAUCGGUAGAAGCCACUUAGGAGGGCUUCUGGGACAGCCGUUUGUCUCCUUUUCUCCUUGCCUUCCCUCUGCUCCCUGCUUGAAGUGUGCCUGUGAUGGCCUGAGCCUUGCAGCAAUUUUAUGGCCUGAGGAUAGAAUUCAUACACUGAGGACAGCAGAGGAAAAAGAAAAAGCUUCAAGCACGGUGACUGUAGAGCUGCCGUUGCCUUUAGUCUUCAUUAAGGUGUGCAAAGGAAACCGGCCCAAUUCCCCAUGCUUCCAGACUCCCUGCCGCAGUCCAAGGUCCACACUUGUGCGUGUCAUCCUCUAAAGACUCUCAUCAGCAGUUUAGUAAAACCUGGGCAUGCGCCAAUUCUGCUCUGAAACCAGCUGGAUGAUACAGGACAAGCCAUGUGACCUCUCUAAGCGUCGAUUUCCUCACUGAUAAAGUGAGAAUGGUAAUGCCUUUCUCUAAUAAUUGUGCUUAGAAUGAAAUUAGUAUACGUAAAGUAGGUGACACAUAGAAAGCUCUUAAGGUAGCAAAAUGGGAUUAUCACCCCCAAUUAAAUGCUUAAUGGGAAUUAUGAAGAGAAUUAUUUUUAAACUUUUUUUCACGCAGGGCAGCUCUCCUUACAGGGCACACUCCCUGCGCAUGGGGCUCCCCUACAUAGGGGACACCCCUGCAUGGCACAGCACUCCCUGCACGCGUCAGCACUGCACCUGGGCCAGCUCAUCAGCCAGGUCAGGAGAACCUGGGUUUGAACCCUGGACCUCCCAUAUGGUAGGCAGAUGCUUUAGCUGUUUAGCCAAAUCUGCCUCCCUAUUUUUAAACUUUCAUGCAUAAAAAGAACUAAUUGGAGAGAUAUAUCAUACUCCUGAAUAGAAAGGUUUAAUAUGUAAAAUUGUUUCCUUCAAGUAACAUACGAUGCAGCCUCUGCCUGCCAGAUAAAUAAUUACUGCAUUUUAACUACCUUCAAAUAUUGGCGUCUAAUCAGAUUUUACCAUCCUGAUAAAACUUCUGUUAGGGUGAGAAUAUGUGAACAGGCUGUAACUAUCCUCAAAAAAAUUUUUUUGAUGUAUAAAUUUCAUACCAUAAAAUUCACCCAUUGUAAGUGUACAAUUCAAUUGUAUGAUUUUAGUAAAGUUGUAGUCAUACAACCAUCACUACGAUCCAGUUUUAGAAUAAACUCAUCAGAGUUUUAUUUUGACUCUCAUUCCCAGGAGAUCCACUUUCUGUCUCUCCUCCUCUGUCUUCUGAGCAUCUCCUAGGGUGGAACCCUAACCUAGGUCAUCUUUGCCCCUCGCCUCGUUCACUUAGCAUAAUGAUUUUGAGGUUCAUCCAUGUUUGUAACCAUUCUUUUAACUAUUCUCUUUAGUUAAAAAAAAAAAUGAGAAGAAUUAAAGGAUCCAGAGUAGGGGAACCACCUCUUAAAAAGCCUUAUUUUGGGAAAAUGCACACGAUAAUAAUAGCUAAUAUAAAUUGUACAUUUACUAGGUGCCAGGCACUGUUUUAUAGUUGUUUAAAGGUAUUAACUCCUUUAUCUUCAAGAUGUCCCUAUGAAUAUUUUUCUUUUAUUACCUCUAUUUUAUAGAGAAGGAAAUGGAAGUACAAUGAGAGAGGCUAAGUAAUUUGUCCAAAGUCAUAAUGCUAGUUAAUGUUGGAACUGGGAUUUGAACCGAAGAAGUCUGCUUUCAUAAUCAACACCAUUAAUUCCUAUGCCUGCAGAGUGGGGAGUGUUAAUCAAAUUAUUAGUAUUGCAUUUGAAACCUUUUCUUAAGAUUAGCUUUAGCAAUUAAAUGAGGUAAAGGAAAAUGGCAGUGAACUAUCUGGUACGGAGAACAUUAAAAAACACAUUUAAAAUCCUUUUUCCCUAGAGGAGAGUGAAUGGUAAAAAGUGUAACUACCAAUGUUAACUAAGCAAAGCCAUCAGAUAGGCUUAAUGUCACAAGUGACGUUACCAAGUGCAAGUCACAGUGACAGGCUGGGUUUUUGAGACAAUGUGAGCCUCUGUAGAAUGCAUGGAUUUAAUACUCUGAAUGUGUGGCGCUCCUAAUUACCUGGACAGGAAAAUGCCAGCCCCACAAAGAGAGAAGAUUCUCCUCCGAGGAGCUAAUGUUAUUAAAGAGCCUUUAAGUGUAUUUCUAUUAUGGUGUAUUUGGCAGCCAUGGAAGUAUACAUAAGUUAUGGAACAAGAAACAAAUAUCUGGAAACCACCCAACUAAACCAAGAAAUUAAUUCCCUUGAAACUCCAUGUGAGCUACUCCGCCAUACUACUCUACUGCCUGCCUGCUGCUCUCAAUUGGAUGUCACCAUUCCCUUGCUUUGUUAAAAACCAUAUAUACUAGUAAGUCUAAACAAAAUACUGUUUAAUUUUGCUAAAGUCUGACUUUAAAUGGUUCCUAAAUUUCUGAAACUUGCUUUAAAAAAAAUAGAAACUUAACAUUGUUUCUAAGAUUCCACUCUCAAGCCUGUGUCAAUAGUCUUGCAUUUUUUUACCUGUACUUCAACAGUGGGUAUUUGGAUUUCCAGCUUUUUGCUGACAUUAUCAGUGUUUCUAUAAACAUGCUUGUUUGUGUCCAGUGGUCUGUGAUUGCAUCACUUUCCUCUAGGGCAGUGGUUCUGAAGUUUAGCUAUACAUGUUAGAAUCAUAUAAAUAGGGAAGCAGACUUGGCCUAAUGGAUAGGGCGUCCAUCUACCUCAUGGGAGGUCCACAGUUCAAACCCCAGGCCUCCUUGACCCAUGUGGAGCUGGCCCACGCGCAGUGCUGAUGUGUACAAGGAGUGCCGUGCAAUGCAACCCCCGCGCAAGGAGUGCGCCCCAUAAGGAGAGCCACUCAGCACGAAAGAAAGUGCAGCCUGCCCAGGAAUGGUACCGCACACACGGAGAGCUGAUGCCGCAAGAUGACGCAACAAAGAGUGACAGAUUCCCGUGCCGCUGAUAACAACA